UGGGAUGGACUUAAACGUUUUAGGAGGUUC
RNAcentral lists this non-coding RNA (30 nucleotides) under Rattus norvegicus (Norway rat). The record is from RNAcentral. Lineage: Eukaryota; Metazoa; Chordata; Mammalia; Rodentia; Muridae.